This 458-nucleotide ribosomal RNA is filed under the name uncultured Gaiellales bacterium. RNAcentral's name for it is "bacterial SSU rRNA". It matches the Rfam family "Bacterial small subunit ribosomal RNA", at positions 341 to 792 of the family's 1533-position model. The record is from RNAcentral. Lineage: Bacteria; Bacillati; Actinomycetota; Thermoleophilia; Gaiellales.
ACGGGAGGCAGCAGUGGGGAAUCUUGCCCAAUGGGCGAAAGCCUGAGGCAGCGACGCCGCGUGAGGGAGGAAGGCCUUCGGGUUGUAAACCUCUUUCAGGAGGGACGAAGCUACUCGGGUGAAUAGCCCAGAGGGUGACGGUACCUCCAGAAGAAGCCCCGGCUAACUACGUGCCAGCAGCCGCGGUAAUACGUAGGGGGCAAGCGUUGUCCGGAUUUACUGGGCGUAAAGCGCGUGUAGGCGGCCACGCAGGUCCGUUGUGAAAACUAGAGGCUUAACCUCUAGACGUCGACGGAAACCGUGUGGCUAGAGUCCGGAAGAGGAGAGUGGAAUUCCUGGUGUAGCGGUGAAAUGCGCAGAUAUCAGGAAGAACACCAAUGGCGAAGGCAGCUCUCUGGGACGGUACUGACGCUGAGACGCGAAAGCGUGGGGAGCGAACAGGAUUAGAUACCCUGGUA